RNAcentral lists this ribosomal RNA (468 nucleotides) under uncultured bacterium. Its description in RNAcentral is "partial 16S ribosomal RNA". It matches the Rfam family "Bacterial small subunit ribosomal RNA", at positions 28 to 507 of the family's 1533-position model. The record is from RNAcentral.
GACGAACGCUGGCGGCGUGCUUAACACAUGCAAGUCGAACGGAAAGGCCCUGCUUUUGUGGGGUGCUCGAGUGGCGAACGGGUGAGUAACACGUGAGUAACCUGCCCUUGACUUUGGGAUAACUUCAGGAAACUGGGGCUAAUACCGGAUAGGAGCUCCUGCUGCAUGGUGGGGGUUGGAAAUUUUCGGCGGUUGGGGAUGGACUCGCGGCUUAUCAGCUUGUUGGUGGGGUAGUGGCUUACCAAGGCUUUGACGGGUAGCCGGCCUGAGAGGGUGACCGGCCACAUUGGGACUGAGAUACGGCCCAGACUCCUACGGGAGGCAGCGGUGGGGAAUAUUGCACAAUGGGCGGAAGCCUGAUGCAGCAACGCCGCGUGCGGGAUGACGGCCUUCGGGUUGUAAACCGCUUUCGCCUGUGACGAAGCGUGAGUGACGGUAAUGGGUAAAGAAGCACCGGCUAACUACGUG